GUGCUCAAUUUGGGCAGCACAUGUACUAAAAUUGGAAUGAUACAGAAAAGAUUAGCAUGGUCCCUGCACAAGGAUGACACGCAAAUUCGUGAAGCGUUCCCAUAUUUU
RNAcentral lists this small nuclear RNA (108 nucleotides) under Tupaia belangeri (northern tree shrew). Lineage: Eukaryota; Metazoa; Chordata; Mammalia; Scandentia; Tupaiidae. The record is from RNAcentral.